GAUGUUCUAACGUGGAUCCGUAAUCCGGGUUGCGGACAGUGUCUGGUGGGUAGUUUGACUGGGGCGGUCUCCUCCUAAAGAGUAACGGAGGAGCACGAAGGUUGGCUAAUCCUGGUCGGACAUCAGGAGGUUAGUGCAAUGGCAUAAGCCAGCUUGACUGCGAGCGUGACGGCGCGAGCAGGUGCGAAAGCAGGUCAUAGUGAUCCGGUGGUUCUGAAUGGAAGGGCCAUCGCUCAACGGAUAAAAGGUACUCCGGGGAUAACAGGCUGAUACCGCCCAAGAGUUCAUAUCGACGGCGGUGUUUGGCACCUCGAUGUCGGCUCAUCACAUCCUGGGGCUGAAGUAGGUCCCAAGGGUAUGGCUGUUCGCCAUUUAAAGUGGUACGCGAGCUGGGUUUAGAACGUCGUGAGACAGUUCGGUCCCUAUCUGCCGUGGGCGCUGGAGAACUGAGGGGGGCUGCUCCUAGUACGAGAGGACCGGAGUGGACGCAUCACUGGUGUUCGGGUUGUCAUGCCAAUGGCACUGCCCGGUAGCUAAAUGCGGAAGAGAUAAGUGCUGAAAGCAUCUAAGCACGAAACUUGCCCCGAGAUGAGUUCUCCCUGAGACUUA
RNAcentral lists this ribosomal RNA (609 nucleotides) under Salmonella enterica subsp. enterica serovar Infantis. RNAcentral's name for it is "partial 23S ribosomal RNA". It matches the Rfam family "Bacterial large subunit ribosomal RNA", at positions 2216 to 2824 of the family's 2925-position model. The record is from RNAcentral. Lineage: Bacteria; Pseudomonadati; Pseudomonadota; Gammaproteobacteria; Enterobacterales; Enterobacteriaceae.